UAAUAAGUAGGUAAUAAUUGAUAUAUUCUUCAAGGAAAAUAUUUCAAUAAUAGGGCUAAAAAUUUUGAUAUUUUUUGUUUUCUAAAUUCCUUGUUCGAAUUCUAAGAAACAUACAACAUCGAAGAAGGUCUAUGGAAGCUAUCUGUAGAAAAAAAAAUUAAACCACUAUCUUAUUUAUCUUGGAAGAUACUGAAUUUUGAAAUUUUCGAUUUGUGACUUUUUACCCCAGUCUCCCCUACGUCAAAAUUGAUACCUUCUUUAAGGAAAAAUAUUUUAAAUCUUAAGUUGACUUAAAAUUUCAAUAUAUUUUUUUGUUUCCCCUUAUUCCUUGAUCAAAUUCCUUGAAACUUUGGAUGUUUAAGAAAGGUCAUAAGGGUAGGUAUUUAUCAUAAAGGUGUUUAUUGUGUUUAUUCUAUUACUGCGUGAAUAUCUAGAAAAAAAACAGCGACAUGUGGAGCACGACAGUGCCAUUAACUUUUUUGUACUAUAUAAAUAAAAAUUGUUGGGUAUAUAAGCAAUAGUCUCAUACAAGUCAUCAGACAUCGCAAAAUACUUUAAGUGAUAACAGUCAAUUUCACUGUGAAUUAAAUUCAGUCUUUCUGGUUUAUUCAAGUUCAUUUUAGUGCCAAGUACAGACGGCUAUAACAUGAUUAACAUAUUUAAAAUUACUUUAAUUCUAACGAUUUUUAUUGUGGUCGCAAAUGGAUCGCCUUACCGCGAUACUGACACUUACGAAAUUGUAGAAACACCUCAAUGCAGCUUAGUCUAUGGAGCGUGUAUGGAUCAAUGCCAUCCAAACGUACAAGCUGGUAAAACUGAUUGUCCAGAUGAUAAAAUAUGCUGUGUUCUGGUUUAAUUAUGGGCAAAUCCUGUACUACUAAUUUAUCAGUAAUUUAUUUUGAUUAAAAUAAAUUUUAAUAAAGAAUCAGUGCAUGUA
Molecule: long non-coding RNA, 937 nt
Organism: Phlebotomus papatasi
Lineage: Eukaryota; Metazoa; Arthropoda; Insecta; Diptera; Psychodidae
Exons: 2
Source: RefSeq, a predicted model, not a curated record